CCUACGGGUGGCAGCAGUGGGGGAUAUUGCACAAUGGGGGGAACCCUGAUGCAGCGACGCCGCGUGGGCGAUGGAGUGCUUCGGCAUGUAAAGCCCUAUCAGCAGGGAAGAAAAUGACGGUACCUGACUAAGAAGCCCCGGCUAAAUACGUGCCAGCAGCCGCGGUAAUACGUAUGGGGCAAGCGUUAUUCGGAUUUACUGGGUGUAAAGGGUGCGUAGGCGGGCUGUUAAGUCAGCGGUAAAAUCCCGGGGCUCAACCCCGGCGAGCCGUUGAAAAUGGCUGUCUUGAGAUGUCGAGAGGUAUGCGGAAUGCGCAGUGUAGCGGUGAAAUGCUUAGAUAUUGCGCAGAACUCCGAUUGCGAAGGCAGCAUACCGGCGGCGAUCUGACGCUGAGGCACGAAAGCGUGGGUAUCGAACAGGAUUAGAUACCCCUGUAGUC
This 439-nucleotide ribosomal RNA is filed under the name uncultured bacterium. RNAcentral describes it as "partial 16S ribosomal RNA". It matches the Rfam family "Bacterial small subunit ribosomal RNA", at positions 338 to 795 of the family's 1533-position model. The record is from RNAcentral.